AAUCAACGCUGGCGGCGCGCCUAACACAUGCAAGUCGAACGAGAAAGGGGAGCAAUCCCUGAGUACAGUGGCGUACGGGUGAGUAACACGUGGAUGAUCUGCCCUUUAGUGGGGAAUAACCAUGGGAAACCGUGGCUAAUACCGCAUAAGCUCGAGAGAGGAAAGCAGCAAUGCGCUGAAGGAGGAGUCCGCGGCCGAUUUGCUAGUUGGUAGGGUAAGAGCCUACCAAGGCAGAGAUCGGUAGCCGGCCUGAGAGGGCACACGGCCACACUGGCACUGAAACACGGGCCAGACUCCUACGGGAGGCAGCAGUGGGGAAUCUUGCACAAUGGAGGAAACUCUGAUGCAGCGACGCCGCGUGAGCGAUGAAGCCCUUCGGGGUGUAAAGCUCUUUUCUCGGGGAAGAUGAUGACGGUACCCGAGGAAGAAGCACCGGCUAACUACGUGCCAGCAGCCGCGGUAAUACGUAGGGUGCAAGCGUUGCCCGGAUUUAUUGGGCGUAAAGGGCGCGUAGGCGGCUCGGAACGUCCGUUGUGAAAUCGCCCGGCUCAACUGGGCGGGGUCAGCGGAUACGAUCGAGCUGGAGCAAGCUAGGGGGCAAUGGAAUUCCCGGUGUAGUGGUGGAAUGCGUAGAUAUCGGGAGGAACACCAGUGGCGAAGGCGGUUGCCUGGGCCUUUGCUGACGCUGAUGCGCGAAAGCGUGGGGAGCGAUCCGGAUUAGAUACCCGGGUAGUCCACGCCCUAAACGAUGCAUAUUUGGUGUGGGCAGUUCAUUCUGUCCGUGCCGGAGCUAACGCGUUAAAUAUGCCGCCUGGGGAGUACAGUCGCAAGGCUGAAACUCAAAGGAAUUGACGGGGGCCCGCACAGGCGGUGGAGCAUGUGGUUCAGUGCGACGCACGCGAAGACCUUACCUGGGCUCGAACGGCU
This 927-nucleotide ribosomal RNA is filed under the name uncultured bacterium. RNAcentral describes it as "bacterial SSU rRNA". It matches the Rfam family "Bacterial small subunit ribosomal RNA", at positions 28 to 990 of the family's 1533-position model. The record is from RNAcentral.